GAUGAACGCUGGCGGCGUGCCUAAUACAUGCAAGUCGAGCGAACAGACGAGGAGCUUGCUCCUCUGACGUUAGCGGCGGACGGGUGAGUACCACGUGGAUAACCUACCUAUAAGAAUGGGAUAACUUCGGGAAACCGGAGCUAAUACCGGAUAAUAUAUUGAACCGCAUGGUUCAAUAGUGUAAGACGGUUUUGCUGUUACUUAUAGAUGGAUCCGCGCCGCAUUAGCUAGUUGGUAAGGUAACGGCGUACCAAGGCAACGAUGCGUAGCCGACCUGAGAGGGUGAUCGGCCACACUGGAACUGAGACACGGUCCAGACUCCUACGGGAGGCAGCAGUAGGGAAUCUUCCGCAAUGGGCGAAAGCCUGACGGAGCAACGCCGCGUGAGUGAUGAAGGUCUUCGGAUCGUAAAACUCUGUUAUUAGGGAAGAACAAAUGUGUAAGUAACUAUGCACGUCUUGACGGUACCUAAUCAGAAAGCCACGGCUAACUACGUG
This 497-nucleotide ribosomal RNA is filed under the name uncultured bacterium. RNAcentral describes it as "partial 16S ribosomal RNA". It matches the Rfam family "Bacterial small subunit ribosomal RNA", at positions 28 to 507 of the family's 1533-position model. The record is from RNAcentral.